This 196-nucleotide small nuclear RNA is filed under the name Mus pahari (shrew mouse). RNAcentral's name for it is "sRNA (MGP_PahariEiJ_G0007994.1)". It matches the Rfam family "7SK RNA". Rfam says of the family: 7SK was discovered as an abundant small nuclear RNA in the mid-70s but a possible function has only recently been suggested. Two independent studies have found that 7SK RNA binds the CDK9/cyclin T complex (known as elongation factor P-TEFb). Lineage: Eukaryota; Metazoa; Chordata; Mammalia; Rodentia; Muridae. The record is from RNAcentral.
UGUGGAAUACGAGGUGGGGACUUCAGGCUGUGACAUCUGCCACCCCAUUAACUCCCAGGGUUGAUUUGGCUGAUCUGGGAGGCUAGGUGAGUGUCCCCUUCCUCCCUCAGCACACCAUGUGUGUCCCUCCCAAAGCCAUGCAUUCAGGGAUGAGGAUGAUCUUCCGUGAAUGGAGGAGGACUUGGUCCCCCCGAUG